UUGAUUGACUUCCUUCUAAUC
Molecule: non-coding RNA, 21 nt
Organism: Caenorhabditis elegans
Lineage: Eukaryota; Metazoa; Nematoda; Chromadorea; Rhabditida; Rhabditidae
Source: Ensembl